GGAGGCCCGCCUAUCGAACAAGAAGUGCGGAAGGCUUGAACAACAGUGAGAACAGGGCAUGGUAUAAUGCAACAGGGUAUGACAACAACUGCCGGUCCCAAAAACAGAGAGUUUAUUACUUUAUUGCCAAGACUCCAACUCACACUCAUUGAGGAAGACUACCCACUGGGACAAUAAAAUCAUUGAAUAGAUACAUAUGGAGGACUGGCUGGGCUCCUCACCCCUGAGGCUUCGACGACCAGGUGGCAUAGUCGGGCAGUCUCCCCGGGACCGUAGGAAGUGAAGGAACCACAGCAGCUGCCUGGGUCAGAGCUUGGCCAGUCAAGACAGAGGUCAUGAAGGCAAUUUUGGCUUGGUCCCCAACACACAGAGAUGGCUGGAGCUUUAAACGUUGGAUGCAAUGGGACAGGAAGGCGCUGCAUCAGGUUGGGGAUCCAUCGAAGUGCCCGGGCACUGGAAUCUGGGACUCAGAGAGAGGUGGUUGACUAUCAUGGGGUUGCUGUAUCGAGACGGACAGUUGGAAGAGAACAGUGAGCAGAUGGUCAGUGCUUUCCUGCUGCUUCUAGAUCAUAAGCUCAUGUCAAUGGAUGGCUUCCUUUAGAGGAGCAUACUCUGCUGGGUCAAUUGAAGCUAAACUCAUCCUGUUGGCAACUGCAGUGCAGCAUAGAUGAAUUGGCGGGGAGCAAUAACUUUAAUAAUAAAUUGCAAAACAACAAGCCAUGAGGGAACACAAAGCCAGAGAGAUCUGAUACUCACCAUGACAAGGCUAGGAGUGUCUGGAUGAGUGAACAAGGAUUGUGGAUUGGAGCUGGUUUUAAAUAGGCUGCAGGUGAUGAGUUGGGAAUGAGUGGUAGCUGAUUCCUGUUAACUGGGUGGUGACCUAUCUAUGCAAGCCUGACUGCUUUCUGUCAUGAGGUGACCCAGAAAUGAACACAAUAUUCCAAGUGUGGUCUAACCAGGGUUUUAUAGAGCUGCAGUUUACCAAUUGGUGAUAUAGGAUUGAACAUAAUCCCAUGAGUUAUGAAGGUCAACAUACCAUACACCUUCGUAACCACCCAAUCACCUUGCAUGGCAACUUAGAGGGAUCUAUGGACGUAGAGCCCAAUAUCCCUCUGUUCCUGCAGACUGUUAAGAAUCCUGCUAUUAACCCUGUAAUAUGCCUUCAAGUUCAACUUUCCAAACUAUCACUUCAUACUUGGCAGUUAUUACCAUUCGACCAUCAGGCUCUUGAAUUAGAGGUAAUAACUUCACUCAUCCCAUCACUGAACUGUUGUGACAACCUAUAGAUUAAUUUUCAAGGACUCUUCAUCUCAUGUUCUCAGUAUUUGUUGCUUGUUUGCUUAUUUAUUUAUUUACUGAAUUGUUUGUUUGUAUUUGCACAGUUUGUUGUCUUUUGCACAUUGGUUGUUGGGCAUGGUUUUUUUUUAAUGAUUCUAUUGUUUCUUGGGUUUACUGUAUA
Molecule: long non-coding RNA, 1459 nt
Organism: Hypanus sabinus (Atlantic stingray)
Lineage: Eukaryota; Metazoa; Chordata; Chondrichthyes; Myliobatiformes; Dasyatidae
Exons: 3
Source: RefSeq, a predicted model, not a curated record